Molecule: ribosomal RNA, 395 nt
Filed under: Algyroides marchi
Lineage: Eukaryota; Metazoa; Chordata; Lepidosauria; Squamata; Lacertidae
Description: partial 16S ribosomal RNA
Rfam family: Bacterial large subunit ribosomal RNA
Source: RNAcentral
ACUGGAAUGAACGGCUAAAUGAGGACUAAACUGUCUCUUGUAGGCUGACCAAUGAAAUUGAUCUUCCAGUACAAAAGCUGGAAUAAAACCAUAAGACGAGAAGACCCUGUGGAGCUUCAAAACCGAACUCAUUAAACAUGACCCCUCGGAUUUUUAGUUGGGGCGACUUCGGAGAACAAAAAAACCUCCAAAACAUGACCAUCUAUCCACCUUGCUAAGGUCCACACACCAAAGCAACCACAUAAGACCCAGCAACCACCCACGCAUUGUCUGAUCAAUGAACCAAGUUACCCCAGGGAUAACAGCGCCAUCCCCUUCCAGAGUCCUUAUCGACAAGGGGGUUUACGACCUCGAUGUUGGAUCAGGACACCCCAAUGGUGCAGCCGCCAUUAAAG